GUGUUGAAGUCAUGAGAGGUGGUUUGGAGGACAGGGAGAAGGCAGCCCACAAAGGACUCGCUGUAUUUGAUCAGUCGUCUGGCUCUUAUUCUUAUGGAAGCUACUGGGAGAUUCGAAAUUCUGACCAGAGAUUAACAUGAGUAAGGCCGACUGGUUUGAUACUUCGUUACAGCAGCCCAGGGAAAGGAAGGCGGCAGAACCGUUCUCCCGGUGCCUGCUUACGGCCUGCUCCUCACCCCCUCAGCCCCGCGGUGCUCGGGGCCAAACCCUGGGCCUUCGCCCUGAGCUCCAUCCCCAGCCCUUGUCUGUCUGUCUGUUUGUUUACAGCAGCACCUUGGAACUUACCUUUCUUGGUUCUGGGAGCCAUGAGGUGUACCAAAAAUAAUAAGUACCAAAGAAAUUAUUUUGGCUGGAAAGGGUUGCAAACCGCAAAGCAAGUGGCACCCACGCGUUCUAGCUGGCACAGACAGGGAAUACUGGGACAGAAUUUUCAUGUCCAAAUGCAUCAAGUACCACAUUCGAUGAGUGUCAAAGCAGUUAGUUACAAAAGCAUGACUGUAUGACUGCACGGCUGUGUGUACGUACGUACUGUGUGCAUGCGUGUAUGUUGUGUGUACGUGGGCAUGCAUUGUGAGACCAGGUCCUACUGAGUUGCCCAGACCGGGCUGGAACUUGUGAUCCCCUGCCUCAGCCUCCCAGAGUGCUGGGAUGACAGGCACGAGCCACCACGCCGGUGGACUCCAUUUUCUUUUUAUAGGGUUAUCCCAUCUGGAGACUUCUUGGAUUCUGGUGCAUUUCUUUUCCCUGUGAACUUACAAGAAGACAGUGAGGGAGGAGCCACAGCUCAGCUGCUGCAAAUGGCUUAGGGAGCAAGGCUGAUGCUCUCGGCCUCUCUUUCCUCUGCUGCCCCUGCCGGAGGCCCAGAGGGCUGAGCCCCUCAUGUACCCUUCACAAGGAUUGGUUUACUUGAUUAUUAAAACAUGUUCAGUGGUAUUUAAAGAUGUACAUUUCUUUUGAAUGAGCCACGAGUUCCUUUGGAACUGAAAUGUUAGCACUGUCCUGAAGCAGACUGUACUAGUUCUGUUUAUAGUGUGUGUGUGUGUGUGUGUGUGUGUGUGUGUGUGUGUGUGUUGAGUAAGGCUGGAUCAGCUCUGAAACCUACCUGCAGUAGGGCUCCAUGGAACAACGGUUUGGUCCACAAAUAUAUGACGAUGAUCCCAUGACCAUGAAAAACUCCUGUUGCU
RNAcentral lists this long non-coding RNA (1244 nucleotides) under Heterocephalus glaber (naked mole-rat). Its description in RNAcentral is "lncRNA (ENSHGLG00100035905.1)". The record is from RNAcentral. Lineage: Eukaryota; Metazoa; Chordata; Mammalia; Rodentia; Bathyergidae.